AUGGCUGUCUCCUUCCUCGUCUUCCUUCCCAUGCUGGGGCUCCCCUGCGGUGUCCUCUUCCAGGUACAAUUGCAGGAGUUGUGCUCCACGGUGGUGCGGCCCUCGCAGACCUUGUCCCUCACCUGUGCCAUCUCUGGGAACAGUGUCUCCUGCAACAGUGCCACUUGGGACUGGGUCAGGCAGCCCCCAGGGGAAGGGCUCCAAUGUCUGGGAAGGACCUACUUCAGGUACAAGUGGUACAGAGAGUCCGUGCCAUCUGUCCAGAGUCUGUUAGUCAUCGACCCUGACAUGUCCAAGAACCAGUUCUCCCUGCAGCUGAGCUCCGUGACCACUGAGGACACGGCCAUGUAUUACUGUGCCACAGGCACAGAGAGCACCUCCUGGUAA
Molecule: non-coding RNA, 387 nt
Organism: Pipistrellus kuhlii (Kuhl's pipistrelle)
Lineage: Eukaryota; Metazoa; Chordata; Mammalia; Chiroptera; Vespertilionidae
Source: the annotation of a RefSeq genome assembly